UACGUAGGGUGCGAGCGUUGUCCGGAAUUAUUGGGCGUAAAGAGCUCGUAGGCGGCUUGUCGCGUCGGAUGUGAAAGCCCGGGCUUAACUCCGGGUCUGCAUUCGAUACGGGCAGGCUAGAGUGUGGUAGGGGAGAUCGGAAUUCCUGGUGUAGCGGUGAAAUGCGCAGAUAUCAGGAGGAACACCGGUGGCGAAGGCGGGUCUCUGGGCCGAUACUGACGCUGAGGAGCGAAAGCGUGGGGAGCGAACAGG
This 252-nucleotide ribosomal RNA is filed under the name uncultured bacterium. RNAcentral's name for it is "partial 16S ribosomal RNA". It matches the Rfam family "Bacterial small subunit ribosomal RNA", at positions 524 to 776 of the family's 1533-position model. The record is from RNAcentral.